Molecule: small nucleolar RNA, 107 nt
Organism: Gossypium raimondii (Peruvian cotton)
Lineage: Eukaryota; Viridiplantae; Streptophyta; Magnoliopsida; Malvales; Malvaceae
Rfam family: Plant small nucleolar RNA R71
About the family: R71 is a member of the C/D box family of snoRNAs containing the C (UGAUGA) and D (CUGA) box motifs. Multiple nearly identical copies of this snoRNA have been identified in Arabidopsis, and it is thought to function as a 2'-O-ribose methylation guide for 18S ribosomal RNA.
Source: Rfam
AUUCCAUGAUGAAGGCACUUCCAUAAUAAUUCUUUGUACCUUUCCCAUGCCUGAUACCAUGACUCAUCAUCCAUUUGUUGGAAAGAAGUGAUCUUGUUCCUCAACUU